AUACGGAGGAUCAGAGCGUUAUCCGGAUUUAUUGGGUUUAAAGGGUGCGCAGGCGGCCAUUUAAGUCAGCGGUUAAAUCGUGGGGCUCAACCCCAUUCUGCCGUUGAUACUGGGUGGCUUGAUUGCGGUCGAGGUUGGCGGAAUUCGUUGUGUAGCGGUGAAAUGCAUAGAUAUGACGAAGAACACCGAUUGCGUAGGCAGCUGACCAGACCGCAAAUGACGCUCAUGCACGAAAGUGCGGGGAUCGAACAGGAUUAGAUACCCUGGUAGUCCGCACAGUAAACGAUGAAUACUUGUCUUCGGCGAUAUAAUGUCGGAGGCAAAGCGAAAGCGAUAAGUAUUCCACCUGGGGAGUACGCCGGCAACGGUGAAACUCAAAGGAAUUGACGGGG
This 392-nucleotide ribosomal RNA is filed under the name uncultured bacterium. RNAcentral describes it as "partial 16S ribosomal RNA". It matches the Rfam family "Bacterial small subunit ribosomal RNA", at positions 523 to 918 of the family's 1533-position model. The record is from RNAcentral.